CAUGAUUGGCCCCUUUUGUCAGCUGACAGCUGCUGAGAUGUUAUUUAAGAGUUUAUAUUUACUUUCCUUCUUUGCUGUAAACAAAGAUAAUAAAGACACAACUUGGCAAUAAGGGGACACCUGGAGAGAACGAAAUUGAUUUUAAUUUGGCGAGAUGCUCUGGAUCAUCUAACUCAGAUGCUGUUCAUUUGAAGAACUAUAGAUAUUUUUGACCCAAAUGCUUUCCUUUCCAAACAACGCAGCUCGUAGUCCAACCCCUGAGGCUCAGAACCCAUCACCAUCUUUGCAUGGGGAAGAGCAGGCACAGCAAGCACAGGAUCUUUCUGCUGGAUUCCUAGUUAAAGAAGUACAAGCUACACAGUUUUUGGCUGGAAUAAGAGAGAGAAAUGGCCAUUACAGCCAUGUCUCUUGUGAGAAGAGGAAUUCCAGUACACAGUAUGGGCUUUCAACACCAACGUUAAUAGGCAGCAGAAGUUUGCCUAUGCCAUCACUGUUUGCCUAUCACUGUCAUCAACAGGCUAGUCUGAUGCCAAUAUGAUGCUGAUGGAAGCAGUCAUUAAAUGGACAAUAGAGCUGGUGAGCUCACAGAAGAUGAGAAUAGAAGGAGAGUUAAUAGAACAAUCAUGCAGACUCCAUCUAUAGAAGAUCUUCUAUUGGUUCUCAAGAGAUAGAAGAAUGGAAAGUACAGCUAGGUCUGGGUUGUAACAAUAAACUUAGUGAGUAUUUGGAUCAUCUAAAUAAAUCUAGGUGAACUGGGGCCUUCAAAGCUUCUGGGAACUAUGUGUCCAAGCACCAAGACCACUGGCUACCAUAGCAGAACUGUUGGUAUUUCAAAGAAGAGGAGCAUUGCUCGCUCACUCUUGCUCUAAAACAAACAAACAAAGCACAUGUACAGUGUCAUGUCAACCUGCCUCCCUGCCCAAAAUUGCCGUGAUUAUCUUCAUGUGAUCCUAUGCCUUCCAUGUGACUUCUACAUUCUUAGACUUCUUUUAGAUGUUCAUCUUACCAGCAUGAUUACAUCUUCUGCAGGAGCUAUUCCCACAUGGACAUCUAAACACUUCUAGCCAUGUGGGUUGCUUUAACAACUGUUAAUAUUCUACAACAGUUGAUUCUGUUGUAGAAUCUGUUAACAACUACACAGAUGAUGCUUAGCCUCCUUGGGAGUGUGCCACUUGCAAUAUACAGUAUCUAACUACAUAAUUACAGAAACCUGCAACUUUUUAGAUGUUCUAACUGCAUGGAAGCAAUUCUGCCACACACUGAGAAGAGAAGGGGCUAAAUAUUACUGGAGCAGCACAGGAUGUAGCCACAGGAAGGGCUCCAUCUCUCCCAUAAUGUAAACAUCAGUCCUUAUCAUAUGCAAAAAUUGUACACAACAGGCAUGGGGAACAUGAGAAAGUUAUUCAAGUAUUUGAUCUUUAUUUAUGGAAAUGUUUGAAAAUUAAUUAUGCAAUCUACAUCAUCAUGCAGAUGUCUUUUAAGCUCAGCAUCACUUCUUCCUGUUUUUUGGAUUGGUUUGGUCUGGUCAGGUCUAUUUUCUUUUUCAUACUUGCACUUGGUAGACAUAAUAUUGUUUUGUAGAGUUACUAGGCAGGAUGGGAGGGAUAACUUUGUAAGUGUGAGCUUGGGGAAAGGGGCUGGGAUAUAGGAUAAAGCUGACAUUGGUCAUGUGAAAUGUUUAUUUCUAAAUUGUUUUUUAAAUAAAAUGUAAAGUAUAUUUAAAAAUAAGCCCUUAGUGGGAGAUUCAGCCAUGCACAUGAUUCUUGGGUUAGUAUGGCAGUCUCUACUAAUGUAUAAUGUCUGGAUCAGAAUUACAAGUGCUUUUGCUCAAAUGUUUUGCUUAACUGUCCGGUGGAUCGGAACCAGUGUCUGUCUUUCAAGGUCAUGGAUAUAUUCAGCUGCGCUUGAUGAUCUGGGACAUAAUAGCUCCUUUUUAAUCACCUGCUGUGGUAUUUCCGGUACUUCACUUGCAGUUAUGGAUUUAAGAAGCAUUGUUCUUCCAAAGUAAGCUUUCCAUAAAUAGUAGAAUAGGAGUCUGUUAAAUUAUGAACACAUUAAAUGUGGCUUUCACGUG
Hemicordylus capensis (graceful crag lizard) is the source of this 2074-nucleotide long non-coding RNA. RefSeq lists it as uncharacterized. NCBI's taxonomy places the organism in Eukaryota, Metazoa, Chordata, Lepidosauria, Squamata, Cordylidae. The record is from RefSeq and is a predicted model, not a curated record. The transcript has 2 exons.